AGCACGGGUGCUUGCACCUGGUGGCGAGUGGCGAACGGGUGAGUAAUGCGUCGGAACGUACCGAGUAAUGGGGGAUAACGUAGCGAAAGUUGUGCUAAUACCGCAUACGCCCUGAGGGGGAAAGUGGGGGACCGCAAGGCCUCACGUUAUUCGAGCGGCCGACGUCUGAUUAGCUAGUUGGUGGGGUAAAGGCCUACCAAGGCGACGAUCAGUAGCGGGUCUGAGAGGAUGAUCCGCCACACUGGGACUGAGACACGGCCCAGACUCCUACGGGAGGCAGCAGUGGGGAAUUUUGGACAAUGGGGGCAACCCUGAUCCAGCCAUUCCGCGUGAGUGAAGAAGGCCUUCGGGUUGUAAAGCUCUUUCAGCUGGAACGAAACGGUACGCGCUAACAUCGUGUGCUAAUGACGGUACCGGCAGAAGAAGCACCGGCUAACUACGUGCCAGCAGCCGCGGUAAUACGUAGGGUGCGAGCGUUAAUCGGAAUUACUGGGCGUAAAGCGUGCGCAGGCGGAUUGUUAAGCAAGACGUGAAAUCCCCGGGCUUAACCUGGGAAUGGCGUUUUGAACUGGCAGUCUAGAGUGCGUCAGAGGGGGGUGGAUUCCACGUGUAGCAGUG
This 618-nucleotide ribosomal RNA is filed under the name uncultured bacterium. RNAcentral's name for it is "bacterial SSU rRNA". It matches the Rfam family "Bacterial small subunit ribosomal RNA", at positions 68 to 683 of the family's 1533-position model. The record is from RNAcentral.